Alosa sapidissima (American shad) is the source of this 509-nucleotide non-coding RNA. NCBI's taxonomy places the organism in Eukaryota, Metazoa, Chordata, Actinopteri, Clupeiformes, Clupeidae. The record is from the annotation of a RefSeq genome assembly.
CAUUUGCAUAGGGACGUGUUUGCAUGUGCAGAGCAUAUUUGGUCCAGAUGCUUGAUGUUGAGGCAGCUGAACGCUUACAACUGAUCCGUCAGCACAGACGAGCGAUGGCCUUCACUGCACUCUUCCUGUGGUCUCUCGUCGUCUGCAUUCAAGAUUCCAUGGGACAGGUCACUCUUACGCAACCUACAACAGUGACCAGCAGUCCAGGAGGCUCAGUUAAAAUCAGCUGUAAACGGACUGGAAGCAUUCAUUGGGACUGUUCUUCUCCAAAUAAAUGCAUCUCCUGGUACCAACAGCAGUCUGGAGAGAAACCCAAACUCCUCAUCUACUACGUGAGCAGCCUCCAGUCUGGUAUUCCAUCUCGGUUUAGUGGCAGUGGAUCUGGGAAUGACUUCAGUCUGACCAUCAGUGGAGUCCAGAGUGAAGAUGCAGGAGAUUAUUACUGCAUGAGUCGCCAUGAUCCCAGACGUGAUGUUGCUGAGUUCCCACGGUGAUACAGAGCCGUACAA